RNAcentral lists this ribosomal RNA (2639 nucleotides) under Klebsiella pneumoniae. RNAcentral describes it as "bacterial LSU rRNA". It matches the Rfam family "Bacterial large subunit ribosomal RNA". The record is from RNAcentral. Lineage: Bacteria; Pseudomonadati; Pseudomonadota; Gammaproteobacteria; Enterobacterales; Enterobacteriaceae.
ACUAUCGUUAACUGAAUACAUAGGUUAACGAGGCGAACCGGGGGAACUGAAACAUCUAAGUACCCCGAGGAAAAGAAAUCAACCGAGAUUCCCCCAGUAGCGGCGAGCGAACGGGGAGCAGCCCAGAGUCUGAAUCAGCUUGUGUGUUAGUGGAACGGUCUGGAAAGUCCGACGGUACAGGGUGAUAGUCCCGUACACCAAAAUGCACAGGCUGUGAACUCGAAGAGUAGGGCGGGACACGUGGUAUCCUGUCUGAAUAUGGGGGGACCAUCCUCCAAGGCUAAAUACUCCUGACUGACCGAUAGUGAACCAGUACCGUGAGGGAAAGGCGAAAAGAACCCCGGCGAGGGGAGUGAAAAAGAACCUGAAACCGUGUACGUACAAGCAGUGGGAGCACCUUCGGGUGUGACUGCGUACCUUUUGUAUAAUGGGUCAGCGACUUAUAUUCUGUAGCAAGGUUAACCGUAUAGGGGAGCCGCAGGGAAACCGAGUCUUAACUGGGCGUUAAGUUGCAGGGUAUAGACCCGAAACCCGGUGAUCUAGCCAUGGGCAGGUUGAAGGUUGGGUAACACUAACUGGAGGACCGAACCGACUAAUGUUGAAAAAUUAGCGGAUGACUUGUGGCUGGGGGUGAAAGGCCAAUCAAACCGGGAGAUAGCUGGUUCUCCCCGAAAGCUAUUUAGGUAGCGCCUCGUGAAUUCAUCUUCGGGGGUAGAGCACUGUUUCGGCUAGGGGGUCAUCCCGACUUACCAACCCGAUGCAAACUACGAAUACCGAAGAAUGUUAUCACGGGAGACACACGGCGGGUGCUAACGUCCGUCGUGAAGAGGGAAACAACCCAGACCGCCAGCUAAGGUCCCAAAGUCAUGGUUAAGUGGGAAACGAUGUGGGAAGGCACAGACAGCCAGGAUGUUGGCUUAGAAGCAGCCAUCAUUUAAAGAAAGCGUAAUAGCUCACUGGUCGAGUCGGCCUGCGCGGAAGAUGUAACGGGGCUAAACCAUGCACCGAAGCUGCGGCAGCGACACUAUGUGUUGUUGGGUAGGGGAGCGUUCUGUAAGCCUGCGAAGGUGACCUGUGAGGGUUGCUGGAGGUAUCAGAAGUGCGAAUGCUGACAUAAGUAACGAUAAAGCGGGUGAAAAGCCCGCUCGCCGGAAGACCAAGGGUUCCUGUCCAACGUUAAUCGGGGCAGGGUGAGUCGACCCCUAAGGCGAGGCCGAAAGGCGUAGUCGAUGGGAAACAGGUUAAUAUUCCUGUACUUGGUGUUACUGCGAAGGGGGGACGGAGAAGGCUAUGUUAGCCGGGCGACGGUUGUCCCGGUUUAAGCAUGUAGGCUGGUUGUCCAGGCAAAUCCGGAUAAUCAAGGCUGAGGUGUGAUGACGAGGCACUACGGUGCUGAAGUAACAAAUGCCCUGCUUCCAGGAAAAGCCUCUAAGCAUCAGGUAACAUCAAAUCGUACCCCAAACCGACACAGGUGGUCAGGUAGAGAAUACCAAGGCGCUUGAGAGAACUCGGGUGAAGGAACUAGGCAAAAUGGUGCCGUAACUUCGGGAGAAGGCACGCUGGUGUGUAGGUGAAGUCCCUGCGGAUGGAGCUGAGACCAGUCGAAGAUACCAGCUGGCUGCAACUGUUUAUUAAAAACACAGCACUGUGCAAACACGAAAGUGGACGUAUACGGUGUGACGCCUGCCCGGUGCCGGAAGGUUAAUUGAUGGGGUUAUCCGUAAGGAGAAGCUCUUGAUCGAAGCCCCGGUAAACGGCGGCCGUAACUAUAACGGUCCUAAGGUAGCGAAAUUCCUUGUCGGGUAAGUUCCGACCUGCACGAAUGGCGUAAUGAUGGCCAGGCUGUCUCCACCCGAGACUCAGUGAAAUUGAACUCGCUGUGAAGAUGCAGUGUACCCGCGGCAAGACGGAAAGACCCCGUGAACCUUUACUAUAGCUUGACACUGAACAUUGAGCCUUGAUGUGUAGGAUAGGUGGGAGGCUUUGAAGCGUGGACGCCAGUCUGCGUGGAGCCAACCUUGAAAUACCACCCUUUAAUGUUUGAUGUUCUAACGUUGGCCCCUUAUCGGGGUUGCGGACAGUGUCUGGUGGGUAGUUUGACUGGGGCGGUCUCCUCCCAAAGCGUAACGGAGGAGCACGAAGGUUAGCUAAUCCUGGUCGGACAUCAGGAGGUUAGUGCAAUGGCAUAAGCUAGCUUGACUGCGAGCGUGACGGCGCGAGCAGGUGCGAAAGCAGGUCAUAGUGAUCCGGUGGUUCUGAAUGGAAGGGCCAUCGCUCAACGGAUAAAAGGUACUCCGGGGAUAACAGGCUGAUACCGCCCAAGAGUUCAUAUCGACGGCGGUGUUUGGCACCUCGAUGUCGGCUCAUCACAUCCUGGGGCUGAAGUAGGUCCCAAGGGUAUGGCUGUUCGCCAUUUAAAGUGGUACGCGAGCUGGGUUUAGAACGUCGUGAGACAGUUCGGUCCCUAUCUGCCGUGGGCGCUGGAGAAUUGAGGGGGGCUGCUCCUAGUACGAGAGGACCGGAGUGGACGCAUCACUGGUGUUCGGGUUGUCAUGCCAAUGGCACUGCCCGGUAGCUAAAUGCGGAAGAGAUAAGUGCUGAAAGCAUCUAAGCACGAAACUUGCCCCGAGAUGAGUUCU